UACGGGGGGGGCAAGCGUUGUUCGGAUUUACUGGGCGUAAAGGGCGCGUAGGCGGUCGUGACAGGUCACUUGGGAAAUCUCCGGGCUUAACUCGGUAGCGGCCAAGUGAUACUGUCGGACUAGAGUGCGGAAGGGGCAACUGGAAUUCCCGGUGUAGCGGUGAAAUGCGUAGAUAUCGAGAGGAACACCUGCGGCGAAGGCGGGUUGCUGGGCCGACACUGACGCUGAGGCGCGAAAGCCAGGGGAGCGAACGGG
This 255-nucleotide ribosomal RNA is filed under the name uncultured bacterium. RNAcentral's name for it is "partial 16S ribosomal RNA". It matches the Rfam family "Bacterial small subunit ribosomal RNA", at positions 524 to 776 of the family's 1533-position model. The record is from RNAcentral.